This 253-nucleotide ribosomal RNA is filed under the name uncultured bacterium. RNAcentral's name for it is "partial 16S ribosomal RNA". It matches the Rfam family "Bacterial small subunit ribosomal RNA", at positions 524 to 776 of the family's 1533-position model. The record is from RNAcentral.
UACGGAGGGUGCAAACGUUGCUCGGAAUCAUUGGGCGUAAAGCGCACGUAGGCGGCCUGUUAAGUCGGAUGUGAAAGCCCUGGGCUCAACCCAGGAAGUGCAUUCGAAACUGGCAGGCUUGAAUAUGGAAGAGGGUCGCGGAAUUCCCGGUGUAGAGGUGAAAUUCGUAGAUAUCGGGAGGAACACCAGUGGCGAAGGCGGCGACCUGGGCCAAUAUUGACGCUGAGGCACGAAGGCUGGGGGAGCGAACAGG